RNAcentral lists this long non-coding RNA (366 nucleotides) under Solanum tuberosum (potato). Its description in RNAcentral is "long non-coding RNA (STUB_LNC000967)". The record is from RNAcentral. Lineage: Eukaryota; Viridiplantae; Streptophyta; Magnoliopsida; Solanales; Solanaceae.
CCAACAACUAUUAGGUUGAUAAGAUUUGUGUGGAGGAGAAGAUAGUAAGAAAAUGACAAAAAAAUAUGUUUGAACAAGUCAGUCAGCUGACAUUGGGACACAGGCAUUCAUUCUCAACUGGAAAUAUUAAUAGCUGAAAGGAUGAGUCAAGUAAAAUCUCAUUAAAUUAAUACUUGAUAAAUUAAUUGUAAGGUCCCAUAUUUAAACAAGGACAUAUUAGUCCUUAGUAAAAGAAAAAGAAAAAAAAGAAAAAGAAAUACAAGUGGGCCUUAGCCCAUCUGAACGUAUCUAGGGAAACAAAUUAAGACGAAGGGAUUUUGGGAGUUAAAAAAUCUUUUCCCAGCAGCUCUUGAAAAAAAAAAAAAN